GCUAUUUAUUUACUUUUAUUAAACCCAGGUUACAUUCUUGUUAUUUUUUCAACCCAAUUUUUUUGGUUAAAUUAUAACCUCAGUUUGAAGUUGGUUUUAAAAUAACCAAAUUUCUUCAAAAGUUUCGGAAAAGUAUUUAAAUAACUCGUUUUUGACACAAAGUCAUAAAUAAGUUUUUAAAUAACUUCUAGUUUUGUGUUUUAAGGGUUAAAAAAUAACCAAAUUUUGGCUCCAAGUUUGAAGUAAGUAUUUUAAUAACUUUUUUUUUCGCACAAAAAGUUUUUUUUUAAGUUAGAAUUUAACCAAAUCUGAUCCCAAAGUUUUAAGUAAGUAUUUUAAUAACUCUUUUUUUACCCAAAAAGUUAUUUAUAGGUUAUAAAUUAACCAAAUUUUAUCUAUAGUUUGAAACGAGUUUUUAAAUUACUCACUUUAAGAUGGAAGUUGUUUAUUGGUUUAAAAUUAACCCAUUAUAGAACCUAAGUUUAAGGUGAGUUUCUAAUUAACUUCUUUAUUUUUGUCUUUUAUGGGCUAAAAAAUAACCAAAUUUUCAUUACAAGUUUCAAGUAAGUAUUUAAAUAACUCCUUUUUUACACAAAAAGCUAUUUAUAGACUAGAAAUUAACCAAAUUUGACCUUAAGUUUGAAACGAGAUUUUAAAUUACUGACUUUUUACCAUUAAAGUUGUUUAUUGGUUUAAAAUUAACCCAUUAUAAAUCUUAAGUUCAAGGUGAGUUUCUAAUUAACUUCUUUAUUUUUGUCUUUUAUGGGCUAAAAAAUAACCAAAUUUUCAUUACAAGUUUCAAGUAAGUAUUUAAAUAACUCCUUUUUUACGCAAAAAGCUAUUUAUAGACUAGAAAUUAACCAAAUUUGACCUUAAGUUUGAAACGAGAUUUUAAAUUACUGACUUUUUACAAUGAAAGUUGUUUAUUGGUUUAAAAUUAAUCCAUUAUAAAUCCUAAGCUUAAAGUAAGAUUUUAAAUAACUACUAUAAGUACGUAUAAGUUUUUAAUCAACUCGUUAUUUACCUUUUAACAACCCUGGCAAUUUUUCAACUAAGUUCCAACCCAAUUUCAACUAACCAACAACUCUCCACACAUACACAUUCACCAUACUCGAGCGUCGCGCGUCGCCCAUCAUAUUUUUGUCUCUCAUUUUUCUCAGAUCUCUCAGUAUUCUUUUGUGGCUGGUGGUAGCAAGUUAUUGUGCGAGAAAGUUUUUGUGAAAAAAUAUAAAUUAAAUAAAAAAAAAUAUCUGUCUGUGAAAAAUUAUUAAGAGGUAAGUUAUUUGUUUAUAAUUUAUUUUAAAUAUUGUUAUUUGUUUAUAAUUUAUUUUAACCCUUUGCUUCCUAGUGGUUUCAGCAUGAUACCACCUAUUAAUUACUUUGUUAGUUUUUUUUACUACAAAAUGGACUUUUCCUUUUGUACUCUCAGCUCAAAACAUUCCUUAUACAAUGUUAUUACUAGUACAAUCAUUAUUUUUUUCAUUUUAGUGUGUUGUUAGAAAAUAUCAAAACUUUUUUUCAAGAUAUUUGUAUUUUUUUCCGGGAGCGAAGGGUUAAAUAUUAAAUAUUGUUUAAUAAAUAACUUCAGAGUAUAAAAAAUAACUUCUGAGUUUGAAAAAUAUCUUCUGAGUUUGGAAAAUAACUUCUGAGUUUGAAAAAUAUCUUUUGAGUUUGGAAAAUAACUUCUGAGUUUGAAAAAUAUCUUCUGAGUUUAGAAAAUAACUUCUGAGUUUGAAAAAUAUCUUCUGAGUUUAGAAAAUAACUUCUGAGUUUGAAAAAUAUCUUCUGAGUUUAGAAAAUAACUUCUGAGUUUGAAAAAUAUCUUCUGAGUUUGGAAAAUAACUUCUGAGUUUGAAAAAUAACUUGAGAGUAGGCAUACAGAUAACUUAGCGCGUCUUUUCAUUUGUCUUUCUCAUUCCGCGUUAUUAUUCCAAGCUUGACUGUUGAUAAAAUCACUAUAAUAAAAAUGUAUUCUAUCAUUAAAAAUAAAAUUUGUAGUAGAACUACUUUUAAAAGAAAAGUUAAAAAAAUAAUAUUAGAAAUGCGUGAAAAAGAAAGAAUUAAAAAUCUUGAACAAGUUUUUCUUAGCAAGAGGUUAUUUGAAGUGCAGCAACACCUUUCGGAAAAUGAAAUAAGUGCUAAUUGUGAACAAGGUUUUUCUAACACGAAAUUUGAAGAGUUGCAACACCUAUCGAAUAUUAUUUCUGAACAUGAAAGUGACAGUGAAAAUUCUGGAAACAAUUGUGUCGCUGUCUCAACUAAUUUUGAAGCUAUUCCAGAAAAUUUAAAAAAAAACUUAGUAUUAUGGGCUAUUCAGCAUAACAUAUCGAAUAUUUGCUUGCGUGAUUUGCUUAACAUUUUGCAUAAUUCUCAUCCUUAUUUGCCAUUAGACCCUCGAACAUUAUUACAAACUCGCGUUUCCCUUGAGAAAAUUUUUAUCGAAGUUCCACCUGGUAGAUACUGGCAUUUCGGUUUGGUUCGCGCUCUUACUAAGGUUUUUGAAAGUGUUCAGACAUGUCAAACAGUAAUAUUCUUGGACUUUAAUAUUGAUGGGAUUCCUGUUAGCAAAAGUUCAAAGGGCCAAUUUUGGCCUAUUUUGUGUUCACCAGAUGGUUUUCGUGUGCCGCCGCUAGUAAUAGGUGUUUACUACGGAAUGGCAAAACCUUCAAGUGUUAAUGAAUUUCUGCGAUUAUUUCUUGAGGAGGCUGUUAACAUUGAUGAUUUGAACAUUGGUUCCAAAAAAAUAAGUUUUAAAAUCAGGAAUUUCAUCUGUGACGCCCCCGCUCGUUCUUAUUUAAAAGGAAUCAAAGGGCAUAAUGGUUAUUUUGCUUGUGAAAGAUGUAAUGUAGAAGGGGAUUAUAAUUACAAAUCUCACCAAAUGUGUUUUCCAAACCUAUCAAAAUCACUUCGCACGAAUGAUUCUUUCCGGGCUGGGAUACACGAAGAUCAUCAUACGCAACCAUCUCCAUUAGAAAAACUUCCAAUAGAUAUUAUUAUGAAUUUUCCUCUAGAUUACAUGCACUUGUUGUGCUUAGGUGUCAUGAAAAAAUUGUUGGUUACAUGGAUUAAGAAUAGAACCCUUAAAACAAAAUUCUCGGCAAAAAACAUUGAGAGAAUCUCUAAGACCUUAGUAUCACUACGAAAAUAUGUUCCAUGCGACUUCAAUAGAACACCUCGUGGACUUGAUGUGAUAAGCUUUUGGAAGGCCACUGAAUUUCGUAUGUUUUUGUUGUACUUAGGUCCGGUUGUUUUGCAAAAUGAAACUCAUGAAGAAGUAUAUGCCAAUUUUAUGGAACUACACUGUGCUGUUUCAAUAUGUUUGAGUAAAAAUAAACAAGUUUUUGUUGAUGUCGCACAGAGUCUGUUCAAAUCAUUCAUAUAUAACUUUUCUAGUAUCUAUGGAGCUGAAAACAUAAGUUAUAACGUUCACAAUUUAUAUCAUGUCGUAGAUGAUGUUAAAUACCAUGGACCUUUAGAUAAUAUAAGUGCUUUCAAAUAUGAAAAUCGUUUACAAUAUUUAAAACGUCGAAUAAGAUCUGGAAACAGACCCCUGGAACAAAUUGCAAAUAGGAUUAUCGAAGAUUUUGAGAAUGUAGAUCUAAUUGAUGUAGAUGAAAACAAAACUCCUAUGCUUUAUAUGAAAGAUAGGAAUAAAAUAUGCAAAAUUAAACACUGUGUUGGAAUCUAUAGAGCAAUUCAGCUUCAACAUUUUGUUUUGAAGUCGUCACUUGCAGAUAGUUACUUCUUAACAAACUCAGAAGAAAUUGUUAGAAUGGAGUUUGCAACAUAUCGACAUGGCAUCCCAGUUAUCUAUGGUUCAAGCUUAAAACAAAAACAAAAUUUUUACGAAAAACCGUUCUAUUCUAAAUUUUUAAGCGUUUAUAAAUCAAAUGAAGAAGAAAAUUUGCCUAAUUUUUAUAACAUAGAAAAUAUUUCCUCUAAAUUUUUCAAAAUAACUUUACCAAACACUGAAUCUGUUUUUUUUCCAUUAGUACAUUGUUAAUCAAAAUGUAUUGUGUUGUGGAGACGCUCGAAGAUGAAGGGAAGUUCGUGACGGCAGUUCCCAAAAAUUGGGUCAUCGAUGGAACGAAGCUAUUAUGGCCAAAGUCCAAGAAAGAUUCCAUUUGCGGUCGGAAAAAUUGCAUCACAGCAUCGGAUGAUUGGCAAAGCAUAGCAUGCAAAUUAAUAUUUGAUGACAUCGGUAAGAUACAAGUUUAACUACAUCUUUUUUAUUUUAUUUUUAUUAAGUUCACUUAGACCACUUUUCUCCAAGUAAAAUUUUAUUCGUAUCUAAACUUAAAGCAGUUUAUCCUGGGGGCCUAUUUUUGACAGCUUAGUUACGUUAAUUUUGAUACACUUUAGGUCCCCUUUCAUAUACUUAAAGUAAUCGCGGUUAUGGCCUUUCAAUAUUUUUAUAUUUGAAUAACGCUUCAUAAUAUUCUACACAAUGAGAUUUAUUACAGAAAUUAAAGUUUUUUAGACCGGUCUUUCUUAUAUAAACACAUUACAUUGUCAUCGAGUGCAAUUCAGCAUCAGCCAAUUUGCAAAACAAUAUCGCAAAUUUCGCGAAGAACAAUGGCGCCUUAAAACACGACUAGCAGGUGUUUUUGCGAGCGGGUGCAAUAGCAAAACUCACAGCAACCCUUUUUCUCUUCGUUCACGACAGCGUGCGUGAACGAAAAGGCGUCACGGCGCGGCGCCCACGACUACAAUCGACAUGUUGAUCUUGUGUGAUCGAUACAAGAGCAAUAAAACAAUAAAACAUCGACCUUUUUUCACUUCACUUCGUUGACAAAAUCAAUAAGUGUACUGUACAACAAUAAAACAAUAAAACCGCGACCUUUUUUUUACGUCGUCCAAGACAGCGCGCUUGAACAAAGCGCCACCCGCGACCGACGGUCGACUUGUUGUUCUUGUGUGUUCGAUACAAGAUCAAUAAGUGUACAGCGAUAAAACAAUAAAACAGCGACCUUUUUUUCGCGAAGAACAAUGGCGCCUUAAAAAAAAAUUUUCGACCAGCAGGUGUUUUUGCGAGCGGGUGCAAUAACAAAACUCACAGCAACCCUUUUUCGCUUCGUUCACGAGAGCGCGCGUGAACGAAAAGGCGCCACCUACAACAUUUAAAUAUACAUUUUUAAAAAGCUAGAAACUUAGUCAUAUUUGUAAAAUUAAAAUUAAGUUAAUUGAAUUAAGAGCUUUUGAAAGAAUGGUAUCUGAACUCAGAUUUUUGAAAAAAAAAAAUUAUUGAAGAAAUUUUAAGAUGUCGUUUUUUAAACUUUUUCGUAAUAUAAAAUGCAUUUAUUUUCAAAUUUUUCUGACCACAUUUAUUACGAUUUGAAAUUAUAAAAGAAAAUGUCAAUAUGUAUUACGGUUUAUGAAAAAAAUUAAAAAGUAUUUCAUUUUCGAAGAACUUUUUUUAAUAGAAGUUUUGAAAAAAAAUUUUACUUAUUUGUUUUUUAAAGUUCAACAUCUAAAUAUAAAGUCAUUUUUUCUUCAGUCAAUAGCCCUUAUUGUUGAAAGUUAAAUAGCAAAAAUUUAAAGUUCUUAUUUACCAAAGUCUUUGAGAAAAUUAAUUAUUUCAAAGCAAAAAUUCAGUUUUUAUAAAAAAAACCCAUUGAAAUUGAAAUUUUUUUCAAAAACUCUUGAUUAAAUUUAGUGGAUUUAAAUUUAGGAGAUAAGAAUGAGCUUCUGGCUUUUUAAAAAUGUAUUUUAAAAUAUUGUAGGUGUUGCCGUUGUUUUCAAAAUAUUUUUUUUGUGUUUAAAGUCAGAUUAUGAGAAAAUUGCAUUUAUCUCUUAAACGAUGGAAGAUUGUCCCUUACUCCCUUAUAUUUUUUUUCCUUAAAUAACCUAGAGAAUCUUUUGCUAUCAUUUGUUUUAUGAAAUUUAAGAAAAAAAAUGGUUGUGUUCAAAAAAAAUUUAAUUGUAAUUUUAAAAAACAAUACGGUAACAUCGGCAAUUUUUAAUCUAUAGACUUUAAAGCAUUUUUAAUUGCCUACGUUUGAAAAAAAAUCGUCAAAAUCUGAGCUGUUCGGCCGGUCUUAAGCCGCUUCACCUUUUGAACAAAUAUUUUCUUGUAUCCCUUUCAUGCCACUUAUAUUUACGACAAAACAUGUAUUUCCUUUUAAGGUUCCUGGGAGGAAGCAGUUCAGAAGGAAAAGGAUGCCGAGUAUUUGUCUUCUUCUGAAGAAAAUACGGAAGAAGUGACCAUCGACACCAAUUCUUCGGAAUACAUGACAGAUAUGAACAAAUUGAUGUCAACUUUGAUUCCUAAUUCUGACGUUUCCUCGUUCACCCCCCCAAAUGAAGAUGUUACCAUCACUAAUGUCAUUUCCGACUUAUACACGUUUGAAGGUAAAAAAUGUAUUUUAGCACUAGUACAAUUUUCAAAGUCGUUUUUAAACUCCAGCUUAUCUUAGACUGGGGUUUAUCCAAUGUUAUUUGAAUAGGAUAAACCCCAGUCCCUCUUAGUAACAGCUGAGAUAGCAUAUUAGUUCUUUCACUAACCGUAUUACUUUUUUUUGUAUAUUACUAUAACUCUUAUUUUUAAUUGUUUAUAGGCCCCAGCACCAGUACCCAAUUCAAGGAACUGUCGUCCAAAAUAGACGAAAUUUUGGAAAGACAGCGUUCCACUGAGGUGAAGGUGCAGGCCAUGCAAGGAAUGCUGGAGGCAUUCAUGGCGAAGUCCGAAGUUUCGGUCAAUUUGUUGGCGUCCAAAAUUGCAAAAGAGAAUGCAGAGGAAGUGGAUGAGGAACUGCAACUGGAUGAAAUUUUCCCACUUACCUCUGUCCAACAAAUUGAGGAAAUCGAGGAAAAACUCCAUCAAAAUGCAGCAUUCAAAAAAAAAUUGGUAAGUACCAAAAUAUACGAAAUAUGCAAUUUUCUCACAAUCCGACUUCAAACACAAAAAAAAUAUUUAUAAAACAACGGCAACACCUACAAUAUUUUAAAAUACAUUUUUACAAAGCCAGAAGCUUAUCUUAAAUUUAAAUUCACUAAAUUUAAUUAAGAGUUUUUGAAAAAAUGGUCCUCAAACUCAGAAUUAAAAAAAAAAUUUAUUAAAAAAAUUAAAAAUGACUUUUUUCCAAACUUUUUCUAAUAAAUAUUAUCAGUUGAAUUCCGAAGCAGAAAAGGUAAUAUAUAUCACACUUUUGAAAAAACAAUUAAAAAUAACUUCAAUUUCAAUUGGUUUUUUUUUUUGAUAAAAACUGAAUUUUUGCAUCCAAAUAAUUAAUUUUCUAAAAGACUUUGGUAAAUAAGAACUUUAAAUUUUUGCUAUUUAACUUUCAACAGUAAGGGUUAUUAAAUAAAUAAAAAAUAAUUUUAUGUUUAGAUGUUGAACUUUGAAAAAAAAUAAGAUACAUUUUUUUUCAAAACUUUUAUUAAAAAAAGUUCUUCGAAAAUGAAAUUCUUUUUAAUUUUUUUCAUAAACCGUAAUACAUAUUGACAUUUUCUUUUAUAAUUUCAAAUCAUAAUAAAUGCGGCCAAAAAUAUUUGAAAAUAAAUGCAUUUUAUAUUACGAAAAAGUUUAAAAAACGACAUCUUAAAACAUAUUUUUGUUUUCUUUCAGGUCCGUAAGUUGAGCUCCUAUGGGGGGGCCAACGGAAUGAAAACGAUCCGCACUAUUUGCAAGUGCAUUUUUACGGAUCCACUACUGGCAGAACAUUCUUGGCUGGGGACUAAUGCC
Molecule: RNA transcript, 7684 nt
Organism: Episyrphus balteatus (marmalade hoverfly)
Lineage: Eukaryota; Metazoa; Arthropoda; Insecta; Diptera; Syrphidae
Exons: 2
Source: RefSeq, a predicted model, not a curated record